RNAcentral lists this ribosomal RNA (333 nucleotides) under uncultured eukaryote. Its description in RNAcentral is "partial 18S ribosomal RNA". It matches the Rfam family "Eukaryotic small subunit ribosomal RNA", at positions 1470 to 1796 of the family's 1831-position model. The record is from RNAcentral.
CCCUUAGAUGUCCGGGGCCGCACGCGCGCUACACUGAAGGAAUCAGCGUGGCUUUCUCCCUGACCCGAAAGGUUGGGAAACCCGUUGAAUCUCCUUCGUGAUAGGGAUUGGGGCUUGAAAUUGUUCCCCAUGAACGAGGAAUUCCCAGUAAGCGCGAGUCAUAAGCUCGCGUUGAUUACGUCCCUGCCCUUUGUACACACCGCCCGUCGCUACUACCGAUUGAACGGUUUAGUGAGGGCCUCGGAUUGGUCUCGGCCCGCUCUUUACCGGGCGGCGCCGUUGGUCGAGAAGACGCUCGAACUUGAUCGUUUAGAGGAAGUAAAAGUCGUAACA